Molecule: ribosomal RNA, 497 nt
Filed under: uncultured bacterium
Lineage: Bacteria
Description: bacterial SSU rRNA
Rfam family: Bacterial small subunit ribosomal RNA
Source: RNAcentral
GACGAACGCUGGCGGCGUGCUUAACACAUGCAAGUUGAACGGGGCAUAUAUUUGACAGACUUUUCGGAGUUUAGAAGAUAUAUGUUUAGUAGCGGACGGGUGAGUAAUGCAUGAGAACCUGCCCUUCAGAGGAGGACAACAGCUGGAAACGGUUGCUAAUACCCCACUAAGCCGAGAGGUAAAAGGAAGUAAUCCGCUGAGGGAGGGGCUCAUGUCCUAUCAGCUAGUUGGUAAGGUAACGGCUUACCAAGGCGAAGACGGGUAGCCGGCCUGAGAGGGCGAUCGGCCACACUGGAACUGAGAUACGGUCCAGACUCCUACGGGAGGCAGCAGUGGGGAAUAUUGGGCAAUGGGCGCAAGCCUGACCCAGCGACGCCGCGUGAGGGAAGAAGGCCCUUCGGGUGUAAACCUCUGUUGUAUGGGAAGAAGGACGUGACGGUACCAUACGAGGAAGUCCCGGCUAACUACGUGCCAGCAGCCGCGGUAAAGUCUGUACU